GCAUAAUAAAUAGUUUUUUAAUUGGGAACUGGAAUGAAUGGUAGUAACUAAAAAGAAGGUUUUGUUUAAUAAAGUUUGAAUUUAAAUUAAAAGUAAAAAUGCUUUUGUUAAUUUUUGGGACGAGAAGACCCUAGAAGCUUAAAAAUUAUGUAUUUUUUAAUUGGGGCAAUUUUUGAAGAGAAAAAUUUUUAUAGAAUAAAUUAAAAAAAAAAGGAAGUUACUCUAGGGAUAACAGCGUAAUUUAGUUAGCAAGUUCUUAUUAAUAAUUAGGUUUGCGACCUCGAUGUUGAAUUAAUA
This 297-nucleotide ribosomal RNA is filed under the name Daguerreia inermis. Its description in RNAcentral is "partial 16S ribosomal RNA". The record is from RNAcentral. Lineage: Eukaryota; Metazoa; Arthropoda; Arachnida; Opiliones; Gonyleptidae.